RNAcentral lists this ribosomal RNA (600 nucleotides) under uncultured archaeon. RNAcentral describes it as "bacterial SSU rRNA". It matches the Rfam family "Archaeal small subunit ribosomal RNA", at positions 1 to 609 of the family's 1478-position model. The record is from RNAcentral.
UUCCGGUUGAUCCUGCCAGAGGUCACUGCUAUCGGGGUUCGAUUAAGCCAUGCGAGUCGAGGGGGUUCAGACCCUCGGCGGACUGCUCAGUAACACGUGGAUAAUCUGCCCUAUGGUGGAGGAUAACCCCGGGAAACUGGGGAUAAUACUCCACAAGUCAGGAGUACUGGAAUGUCUCCUAACUGAAAGUUGCGGCGCCAUAGGAUGAAUCUGCGGCCGAUUAGGUAGUUGUUGGGGUAACGGCCCAACAAGCCCGUAAUCGGUACGGGUUGUGGGAGCAAGAGCCCGGAGAUGGAAUCUGAGACACGAUUCCAGGCCCUACGGGGCGCAGCAGGCGCGAAAACUUUACAAUGCAGGAAACUGUGAUAAGGGAACCCCGAGUGCCCGUAAACGCGGGCUGUCCCGGUGUUUAAAACACAUCGGAAGAAAGGGCCGGGCAAGACCGGUGCCAGCCGCCGCGGUAAUACCGGCGGCUCGAGUGGUGACCACUUUUAUUGGGCUUAAAGCGUUCGUAGCUUGAUUUUUAAGUCUCUUGGGAAAUCUCACGGCUUAACUGUGAGGCGUCUAAGAGAUACUGGGAAUCUAGGGACCGGGAGAGGU